AUAAUGGGUCAGCGACUUAUAUUCUGUAGCAAGGUUAACCGAAUAGGGGAGCCGAAGGGAAACCGAGUCUUAACUGGGCGUUAAGUUGCAGGGUAUAGACCCGAAACCCGGUGAUCUAGCCAUGGGCAGGUUGAAGGUUGGGUAACACUAACUGGAGGACCGAACCGACUAAUGUUGAAAAAUUAGCGGAUGACUUGUGGCUGGGGGUGAAAGGCCAAUCAAACCGGGAGAUAGCUGGUUCUCCCCGAAAGCUAUUUAGGUAGCGCCUCGUGAAUUCAUCUCCGGGGGUAGAGCACUGUUUCGGCAAGGGGGUCAUCCCGACUUACCAACCCGAUGCAAACUGCGAAUACCGGAGAAUGUUAUCACGGGAGACACACGGCGGGUGCUAACGUCCGUCGUGAAGAGGGAAACAACCCAGACCGCCAGCUAAGGUCCCAAAGUCAUGGUUAAGUGGGAAACGAUGUGGGAAGGCCCAGACAGCCAGGAUGUUGGCUUAGAAGCAGCCAUCAUUUAAAGAAAGCGUAAUAGCUCACUGGUCGAGUCGGCCUGCGCGGAAGAUGUAACGGGGCUAAACCAUGCACCGAAGCUGCGGCAGCGACGCUGAUGCGUUGUUGGGUAGGGGAGCGUUCUGUAAGCCUGCGAAGGUGUGCUGUGAGGCAUGCUGGAGGUAUCAGAAGUGCGAAUGCUGACAUAAGUAACGAUAAAGCGGGUGAAAAGCCCGCUCGCCGGAAGACCAAGGGUUCCUGUCCAACGUUAAUCGGGGCAGGGUGAGUCGACCCCUAAGGCGAGGCCGAAAGGCGUAGUCGAUGGGAAACAGGUUAAUAUUCCUGUACUUGGUGUUACUGCGAAGGGGGGACGGAGAAGGCUAUGUUGGCCGGGCGACGGUUGUCCCGGUUUAAGCGUGUAGGCUGGUUUUCCAGGCAAAUCCGGAAAAUCAAGGCUGAGGCGUGAUGACGAGGCACUACGGUGCUGAAGCAACAAAUGCCCUGCUUCCAGGAAAAGCCUCUAAGCAUCAGGUAACAUCAAAUCGUACCCCAAACCGACACAGGUGGUCAGGUAGAGAAUACCAAGGCGCUUGAGAGAACUCGGGUGAAGGAACUAGGCAAAAUGGUGCCGUAACUUCGGGAGAAGGCACGCUGAUAUGUAGGUGAAGUCCCUCGCGGAUGGAGCUGAAAUCAGUCGAAGAUACCAGCUGGCUGCAACUGUUUAUUAAAAACACAGCACUGUGCAAACACGAAAGUGGACGUAUACGGUGUGACGCCUGCCCGGUGCCGGAAGGUUAAUUGAUGGGGUUAGCGCAAGCGAAGCUCUUGAUCGAAGCCCCGGUAAACGGCGGCCGUAACUAUAACGGUCCUAAGGUAGCGAAAUUCCUUGUCGGGUAAGUUCCGACCUGCACGAAUGGCGUAAUGAUGGCCAGGCUGUCUCCACCCGAGACUCAGUGAAAUUGAACUCGCUGUGAAGAUGCAGUGUACCCGCGGCAAGACGGAAAGACCCCGUGAACCUUUACUAUAGCUUGACACUGAACAUUGAGCCUUGAUGUGUAGGAUAGGUGGGAGGCUUUGAAGUGUGGACGCCAGUCUGCAUGGAGCCGACCUUGAAAUACCACCCUU
This 1610-nucleotide ribosomal RNA is filed under the name Escherichia coli. Its description in RNAcentral is "partial 23S ribosomal RNA". It matches the Rfam family "Bacterial large subunit ribosomal RNA", at positions 612 to 2207 of the family's 2925-position model. The record is from RNAcentral. Lineage: Bacteria; Pseudomonadati; Pseudomonadota; Gammaproteobacteria; Enterobacterales; Enterobacteriaceae.